UCUUUUUCCACCGGAGCUUGCUCCACCGGAAAAAGANGAGUGGCGAACGGGUGAGUAACACGUGGGUAACCUGCCCAUCAGAAGGGGAUAACACUUGGAAACAGGUGCUAAUACCGUAUAACAAUCNAAACCGCAUGGUUUUGAUUUGAAAGGCGCUUUCGGGUGUCGCUGAUGGAUGGACCCGCGGUGCAUUAGCUAGUUGGUGAGGUAACGGCUCACCAAGGCCACGAUGCAUAGCCGACCUGAGAGGGUGAUCGGCCACAUUGGGACUGAGACACGGCCCAAACUCCUACGGGAGGCAGCAGUAGGGAAUCUUCGGCAAUGGACGAAAGUCUGACCGAGCAACGCCGCGUGAGUGAAGAAGGUUUUCGGAUCGUAAAACUCUGUUGUUAGAGAAGAACAAGGAUGAGAGUAACUGUUCAUCCCUUGACGGUAUCUAACCAGAAAGCCACGGCUAACUACGUGCCAGCAGCCGCGGUAAUACGUAGGUGGCAAGCGUUGUCCGGAUUUAUUGGGCGUAAAGCGAGCGCAGGCGGUUUCUUAAGUCUGAUGUGAAAGCCCCCGGCUCAACCGGGGAGGGUCAUUGGAAACUGGGAGACUUGAGUGCAGAAGAGGAGAGUGGAAUUCCAUGUGUAGCGGUGAAAUGCGUAGAUAUAUGGAGGAACACCAGUGGCGAGGCGGCUCUCUGGUCUGUAACUGACGCUGAGGCUCGAAGCGUGGGGAGCAAACAGGAUUAGAUACCCUGGUAGUCCACGCCGUAAACGAUGAGUGCUAAGUGUUGGAGGGUUUCCGCCCUUCAGUGCUGCAGCUAACGCAUUAAGCACUCCGCCUGGGG
Molecule: ribosomal RNA, 835 nt
Filed under: Enterococcus durans
Lineage: Bacteria; Bacillati; Bacillota; Bacilli; Lactobacillales; Enterococcaceae
Description: bacterial SSU rRNA
Rfam family: Bacterial small subunit ribosomal RNA
Source: RNAcentral